This 893-nucleotide long non-coding RNA is filed under the name Cricetulus griseus (Chinese hamster). RNAcentral describes it as "lncRNA (ENSCGRG00000025881.1)". Lineage: Eukaryota; Metazoa; Chordata; Mammalia; Rodentia; Cricetidae. The record is from RNAcentral.
CAAAGGUUAACAUGAGUCACUGAGAAAAUAUGCUCUGUACAGCAUGGAAACACCAUAACAGGAGAUGGCUAUGAAGACCCAUUGUUGAACAGAUCCCAAAUGUUGGAUGUCUAUCUAUUGACAGUACCAGCACACAUGACCACUGUGACUUCUGACAAAGCUGUCUCAAUGGACCUGAAUUUACUGUUUCCUUGAAGCCAAACAAGGCCCACCCAACAAGCUUGGCCAGGGAGUGAUCAACUAAGAGGAAGCCAGACAAGAGAGAUGGCCAGACUUGCCUGAAAUAAGAACCUGGGCUUUGAUGGCUGAACAACCCCAGUUUGGCAAGACUCAAUCUACAGCUUGGAGGGCAAGCCAGCCCAACUGACCUCUCCACCACCACCUGUUGUCUGUGAGUCCAGACAACAGGACUCACAAAUUUCUUGAUUAUGCUAUUGAAAUAAUAAAAAAGAGACAUCCAUAUGUACACAGAGACUUUGAUCAAUAUAUUUACCAAUGAAAAAACUGUAAUUAUCUGUUGUGUCAUGUGAUGGCAUAUAGAGACCAGUGAAAUGUGUGAAGUGGAGGAGAUGAAAGAGACCUUUUAAUUUUGGAAAUGAAGAGAGAUAGCUCUGAUGGAGAAAGCAAAAAGAGAUGGUCGUUAACAUCUUGAGAUUUCGAUGAUGCCCAAUGCGUCCAUUUCCUGGUCCCUGAGCAGAUGUGGGACUACAACAGGCACACGUGAUGCAGGACUCGGCAGCCAUCUCCAUGUUUCUGAAGCCUGUGGCACACCAAUGGAAGUGAAGACUAUGCAGCACAGGCACAGACAAGAUCUGACCAUGAAGUCUGUAUCAGACCAGUGGAAGGGACUUUUUUGUAGACUCAAGAAUCAACAAUCUGUCGUGGUCAUUUAA